GUGUGAAGGAAUCCUAUAGAGAAACAGGAGUGCAAGCAUCUUAUUAGGGCAUCUGUUUUGUCUGUUGGUUGGAGCCUCGGAAAAGCUUCCUCCACCUCAAGUGCUUCUCCUGGCCUGCCUGUCUCUGUCUACGUACCCAUCCAUCCACUGCAAGCAUAUAUACAAACAUCCCCUCCUGCCUAUGGAAAGGCUGUGGCAUCCGUUUUGUCAGGCUAGCUAGCUAGCUUCUUGCCUAAAGAACACCUUAUUUUGUUCAAAGGAGGCAUCAGAGAGUACGUAUAGGACACUGAGGAAUGGGUCACUGGAAGAGCCGUCACCGCAGCGGAAGGGACGAGGCAGCUCGAGCGAAGGAAACCCGGUGCUUGGCUCUGGCCUGCUGCCCCUGCUACUACGUGCUCGGCUCCGUCGCCAGGGGGGUUGCGAGGUGCCUCUUCGUGGCUUGCUAUCCAGUGAUACAAUGCUGUGGCCUCGACGAGUGCAGGCACCACCACCAUGCCAGCAACUUCAGCCACUUCAGAUGAUGCAUGCAUAUAUAUACAUCCAUCAAGCUAGUAGGAGUGCAUCUUCUACUUGAUCAGCAGUUCCAUUUGCCCUCUCUUUCAGCGAAGAAAGUCGGGUUUGUUAGAAGUUUAACUAAAUCGUGCAAGAUUCUGAAGAAAUUUUCUUCACGUCUUUUUACAAGUUCUCGGUGUUCUUGGACUCCUGUUUUGGUUUACUAGUUGUCCACUUCUUCGCUGGAGGAGACAGACCUGCCUGCAUCAAGACUAUGACUAACGCAAUAAGAUAGAUGAGUAAAGCUGAAGAAAACUGCCUGCUAAAUGGCUAUUGGUCUCCUGGAAGUUAUUCAUAGAGUGGUUGGUUGGUGACAACGCUUUCCGAUUGUUUCUUCCCUACAAUAAUGUGCCUCUCAGGGGAAAAAACAUACUCCUAAUAAUUUCUUACAGCUGGUUCUGGGUCCCCUUUCUUUA
This is a long non-coding RNA of Zea mays, 968 nucleotides long. RefSeq lists it as uncharacterized. The transcript is spliced from 2 exons. The record is from RefSeq and is a predicted model, not a curated record. Lineage: Eukaryota; Viridiplantae; Streptophyta; Magnoliopsida; Poales; Poaceae.